RNAcentral lists this ribosomal RNA (467 nucleotides) under uncultured bacterium. RNAcentral's name for it is "partial 16S ribosomal RNA". It matches the Rfam family "Bacterial small subunit ribosomal RNA", at positions 31 to 507 of the family's 1533-position model. The record is from RNAcentral.
GAGGAAGGCUGGAGGCGUGCUUAACACAUGCAAGUCGAACGGAAAGGCCUCUUUCGGGGGGUACUCGAGUGGCGAACGGGUGAGUAACACGUGAGUAACCUGCCCUUGACUUUGGGAUAACUUCAGGAAACUGGGGCUAAUACCGGAUAGGAGCUCCUGCUGCAUGGUGGGGGUUGGAAAGUUUCGGCGGUUGGGGAUGGACUCGCGGCUUAUCAGCUUGUUGGUGGGGUAGUGGCUUACCAAGGCUUUGACGGGUAGCCGGCCUGAGAGGGUGACCGGCCACAUUGGGACUGAGAUACGGCCCAGACUCCUACGGGAGGCAGCAGUGGGGAAUAUUGCACAAUGGGUGGAAGCCUGAUGCAGCAACGCCGUGUGCGGGAUGACGGCCUUCGGGUUGUAAACCGCUUUCGCUCAUGACGAAGCUUUGUGUGACGGUAGUGGGUAAAGAAGCACCGGCUAACUACGUG